UGACAGCAGGGCCAUCUCAAGAAAACACGGAAGGAAGAACAAAGGACAGAAAAACUUUAUAAUAGUGGGCCUUUGCAUCAACUGUCAGUCUGUGAGCCCCAGUAACCAUGAUGGGGAUUCUUGCCUGUAGAAGUCAGGAUCAAGUCUAUCACUGCUGGAAAAAGUAUGGAAAUUUGCAUUAUAGCUUUUUUAUCUACUAUGUACUGCAUAGGGGAAUAAACUUGUUGUUGUUGUGGUCUAUUG
Gavialis gangeticus (Gharial) is the source of this 243-nucleotide long non-coding RNA. RefSeq lists it as uncharacterized. The record is from RefSeq and is a predicted model, not a curated record. NCBI's taxonomy places the organism in Eukaryota, Metazoa, Chordata, Crocodylia, Gavialidae. The transcript is spliced from 2 exons.